Long non-coding RNA from Monopterus albus (swamp eel), 393 nucleotides. RefSeq lists it as uncharacterized. The transcript has 3 exons. The record is from RefSeq and is a predicted model, not a curated record. Lineage: Eukaryota; Metazoa; Chordata; Actinopteri; Synbranchiformes; Synbranchidae.
ACAGGUGAAGUUUUGGGCCCAGGCGUCGAUGUCGGCGGCGGUGGGAAGACCGACCGCUACGUACUUCCGGUUGGCCCGCAUGAUGCUGAACUCGCUGCAGAGCAUGGCGGCCGCCGUCACGUUGGCGAUGUAUGGGUUGAAGGUGGACGUCAGGUACUCGGACAGAGCCUGACAGGCAGCCUGCAGGGGGACAGUGGGGUUUACAGUUAAAGAACUGAAUUUGAACAGUCAGAUGAAGCUGAAACAGUUCCUUCCUACAUCUGUCAGCACAGAUAAACACUUGAGGCAGCUUCCUCCAAAAAGAGGAAACAAAGGUGGUUUGGUUGUUUGUAUUUUUGCUGAUUCAGGCCUGGUCAUCUGUGAAGAGCGUUACAGUAUUUCACCAUGGCUUAA